This 253-nucleotide ribosomal RNA is filed under the name uncultured bacterium. RNAcentral describes it as "partial 16S ribosomal RNA". It matches the Rfam family "Bacterial small subunit ribosomal RNA", at positions 524 to 776 of the family's 1533-position model. The record is from RNAcentral.
UACGUAGGGGGCAAGCGUUGUCCGGAAUUAUUGGGCGUAAAGAGCGUGUAGGCGGCCAGAUAAGUCCGCUGUGAAAUCUCGAGGCUCAACUUCGAGCUGUCGGUGGAAACUAUCUGGCUAGAGUCCGGAAGAGGAGAAUGGAAUUCCUGGUGUAGCGGUGAAAUGCGCAGAUAUCAGGAAGAACACCCGUGGCGAAGGCAGGUCUCUGGGCCAUAACUGACGCUGAGAAGCGAAAGCAUGGGGAGCGAACAGG